This 497-nucleotide ribosomal RNA is filed under the name uncultured bacterium. RNAcentral's name for it is "partial 16S ribosomal RNA". It matches the Rfam family "Bacterial small subunit ribosomal RNA", at positions 28 to 507 of the family's 1533-position model. The record is from RNAcentral.
GAUGAACGCUGGCGGCGUGCCUAAUACAUGCAAGUCGAGCGAACAGAUGAGGAGCUUGCUCCUCUGACGUUAGCGGCGGACGGGUGAGUAACACGUGGAUAACCUACCUAUAAGACUGGGAUAACUUCGGGAAACCGGAGCUAAUACCGGAUAAUAUAUUGAACCGCAUGGUUCAAUAGUGAAAGACGGUUUUGCUGUCACUUAUAGAUGGAUCCGCGCCGCAUUAGCUAGUUGGUAAGGUAACGGCUUACCAAGGCAACGAUGCGUAGCCGACCUGUGAGGGGGAUCGGCCACACUGGAACUGAGACACGGUCCAGACUCCUACGGGAGGCAGCAGUAGGGAAUCUGCCGCAAUGGGCGAAAGCCUGACGGAGCAACGCCGCGUGAGUGAUGAAGGUCUUCGGAUCGUAAAACUCUGUUAUUAGGGAAGAACAAAUGUGUAAGUAACUAUGCACGUCUUGACGGUACCUAAUCAGAAAGCCACGGCUAACUACGUG